AUUAGGUUGGCAGAAUUAUGUGGUUGAUUUAGGCUCAACAGAAAAAGGUGAAAAUCCUUUACUUAAUA
Molecule: transfer RNA, 68 nt
Filed under: Monodonta labio
Lineage: Eukaryota; Metazoa; Mollusca; Gastropoda; Trochida; Trochidae
Description: tRNA-Leu
Rfam family: tRNA
About the family: Transfer RNA (tRNA) molecules are approximately 80 nucleotides in length.
Source: RNAcentral